CAGCAGCCGCGGGAAUACGUAGGGUGCAAGCGUUGUCCGGAAUUAUUGGGCGUAAAGAGCUCGUAGGCGGUUUGUCGCGCCUGCUGUGAAAUCCUGAGGCUCAACCUCGGGCUUGCAGUGGGUACGGGCAGACUAGAGUGCGGUAGGGGAGAUUGGAAUUCCUGGUGUAGCGGUGGAAUGCGCAGAUAUCAGGAGGAACACCGAUGGCGAAGGCAGAUCUCUGGGCCGUAACUGACGCUGAGGAGCGAAAGCAUGGGGAGCGAACAGGAUUAGAUACCCGGGUAGUCCCUGUCUCUUAUAC
RNAcentral lists this ribosomal RNA (301 nucleotides) under uncultured bacterium. Its description in RNAcentral is "partial 16S ribosomal RNA". It matches the Rfam family "Bacterial small subunit ribosomal RNA", at positions 509 to 807 of the family's 1533-position model. The record is from RNAcentral.